AGAGUUUGAUCAUGGCUCAGGAUGAACGCUGGCGGCGUGCCUCAUGCAUGCAAGUCGAACGGGGACACUUUGAGUAGCAAUACUUGGGGUGUUCUAGUGGCGAUCGGGUGAGUAACACGUAGGUGACCUGCCCCGAAGAGGGGGAUAACGGCCCGAAAGGGCUGCUAAUACCCCAUGUGAUUGACGAUUCAUUUUGUCAAUUAAAGCUUCCGCAAGGAGUGUGCUUCGGGAGGGGCCUGCGGCGGAUUAGAUUGUUGGUGGGGUAAUGGCCUACCAAGUCGAUGAUCCGUAGCUAGUCUGAGAGGACGAUUAGCCACACUGGCACUGACACACGGGCCAGACUCCUACGGGAGGCAGCAGCAGGGAAUAUUGCACAAUGGGCGAAAGCCUGAUGCAGCAACGCCGCGUGAGGGAUGGAGGUCUUUGGAUUGUAAACCUCUUUUUCAGGGGACGAGAGAGGACGGUACCCUGAGAAUAAGCAACGGCUAACUACGUGCCAGCAGCCGCGGUAAUACGUAGGUUGCGAGCGUUAUUCGGAUUUACUGGGCGUAAAGCGCACCGAGGUGGCUUCUUAAGUUGGAUGUAAAAUCUCCCGGCUUAACUGGGAGGCGCCAUUCAAUACUGAGGAGCUUGAGGUCAGCAGGGGAAAGUGGAAUUCCCGGUGUAGUGGGAAUGCGUAGAGAUCGGGAGGAACACCAGUGGCGAAAGCGACUUUCUGGGCUGCACCUGACACUCUAGUGCGAAAGCGUGGGGAGCAAACAGGAUUAGAUACCCUAGUAGUCC
Molecule: ribosomal RNA, 783 nt
Filed under: uncultured bacterium
Lineage: Bacteria
Description: bacterial SSU rRNA
Rfam family: Bacterial small subunit ribosomal RNA
Source: RNAcentral